AGAGUUUGAUCCUGGCUCAGGAUGAACGCUGGCGGCGUGCCUAAUACAUGCAAGUCGAGCGGUAAGGCUUUCACUCUGUAUUUAAUGAGUUGAAUAUAGUGUGAAAGUACACGAGCGGCGGACGGCUGAGUAACGCGUAGGAACGUACCCCAAAGUGAGGGAUAAGCACCGGAAACGGUGUCUAAUACCGCAUGUGAUCUUCGGAUUAAAGCUUUAUGCGCUUUGGGAGCGGCCUGCGUAAGAUUAGUUUGUUGGUGAGGUAAUGGCUCACCAAGACUACGAUCUUUAGCUGGUCUGAGAGGAUGAUCAGCCAGACUGGGACUGAGACACGGCCCAGACUCCUACGGGAGGCAGCAGUAGGGAAUUUCCACAAUGGACGAAAGUCUGAUGGAGCAACGCCGCGUGCAGGAUGAAGGCCUUCGGGUUGUAAACUGCUUUUAUCUGUGACGAUUAUGACGGUAGCAGAUGAAUAAGGAUCGGCUAACUCCGUG
This 491-nucleotide ribosomal RNA is filed under the name uncultured bacterium. Its description in RNAcentral is "bacterial SSU rRNA". It matches the Rfam family "Bacterial small subunit ribosomal RNA", at positions 8 to 507 of the family's 1533-position model. The record is from RNAcentral.